Molecule: ribosomal RNA, 465 nt
Filed under: uncultured bacterium
Lineage: Bacteria
Description: partial 16S ribosomal RNA
Rfam family: Bacterial small subunit ribosomal RNA
Source: RNAcentral
GACGAACGCUGGCGGCGUGCUUAACACAUGCAAGUCGAACGGUAGGGCUCCAGCUUGCUGGGGUACACGAGUGGCGAACGGGUGAGUAACACGUGGGUGACCUGCCCUGCACUUCGGGAUAAGCCUGGGAAACUGGGUCUAAUACCGGAUAGGACCGCACCGUGAGGGUGUGGUGGAAAGUUUUUUCGGUGUGGGAUGGGCCCGCGGCCUAUCAGCUUGUUGGUGGGGUAAUGGCCUACCAAGGCGGCGACGGGUAGCCGGCCUGAGAGGGUGGACGGCCACAUUGGGACUGAGACACGGCCCAGACUCCUACGGGAGGCAGCAGUGGGGAAUAUUGCACAAUGGGCGGAAGCCUGAUGCAGCGACGCCGCGUGGGGGAUGACGGCCUUCGGGUUGUAAACUCCUUUCACCAUCGACGAAGGGUUUCUGACGGUAGAUGGAGAAGAAGCACCGGCUAACUACGUG